This 496-nucleotide ribosomal RNA is filed under the name uncultured bacterium. RNAcentral describes it as "partial 16S ribosomal RNA". It matches the Rfam family "Bacterial small subunit ribosomal RNA", at positions 29 to 507 of the family's 1533-position model. The record is from RNAcentral.
AUGAACGCUGGCGGCGUGCCUAAUCCAUGCAAGUCGAGCGAACAGACGAGGAGCUUGCUCCUUUGACGUUAGCGGCGGACGGGUGAGUAACACGUGGAUAACCUACCUAUAAGACUGGGAUAACUUCGGGAAACCGGAGCUAAUACCGGAUAACAUGUUGAACCGCAUGGUUCAACAGUGAAAGACGGUUUUGCUGUCACCUAUAGAUGGAUCCGCGCCGCAUUAGCUAGUUGGUAAGGUAACGGCUUACCAAGGCAACGAUGCGUAGCCGACCUGAGAGGGUGAUCGGCCACACUGGAACUGAGACACGGUCCAGACUCCUACGGGAGGCAGCAGUAGGGAAUCUUCCGCAAUGGGCGAAAGCCUGACGGAGCAACGCCGCGUGAGUGAAGAAGGUCUUCGGAUCGUAAAACUCUGUUAUUAGGGAAGAACAAAUGUGUAAGUAACUAUGCACGUCUUGACGGUACCUAAUCAGAAAGCCACGGCUAACUACGUG